Ictidomys tridecemlineatus (thirteen-lined ground squirrel) is the source of this 6644-nucleotide non-coding RNA. The record is from RefSeq and is a predicted model, not a curated record. NCBI's taxonomy places the organism in Eukaryota, Metazoa, Chordata, Mammalia, Rodentia, Sciuridae.
GGAAGUAGAAGUGGGGCAAGGAGUUAGCGUCUCAGUUGCCAUGGAGACCAAGGGGCCGACGGCGGAGCUGAGCUCCUUAGAGUCUGGGACCUUCGAGUACGAGAGGCAAACAUGGGCGCCAGACUCACGACUGGCCAUGUCCAGAAGCCCCCCAAAGUCCCCCUUGUCGUCCUCCCGUGCCUACGUGGAGAGCUUCCAGUUCGGCUUCGCGACCCGGCCCAGUCGCGGGUGGUCGCGGGCGCUCCCGCCGCCACCCGAGCCGCAGCUGCUGCGUCUGCGCCCCUCCUCGCUGCGCACCCAGGACAUCUCGCACUUGCUCACCGGCGUCUUCCGCAACUUGUACUCUGCCGAGGUGAUCGGCGAGGAAGCGAGCGCCAGCUUCAUCAAGGCCCGCGGCAGCGAUAAUGCGCGCCACGAGCAGUUCGUGGACCAGUUGCAGCAGAUUCGGGAGCUCUAUAAGCAGCGACUGGAUGAGGUCAAAAUGUUGGAGAGACAUAUCAUUCAGGCCCAAGCACGGGCCCUGGCUGAAACAGAGCGGGCCAUGAACCAGGCCAAAGUGCAUGUCCUCGAGGCCGUCCAGUUGCCCCCAGUUAAGACUGUCUUCAGGUGGUGUGUAGACAGCGAGUUGUUGCGGAAACACCAUUUGAUCAGCCCAGAAGAUUACUACAGUGACACCGUGCCAUUUUGCUCGGCACCUAAAGGCAGUUCUAUCCCUGGAUAUUCAAAACUGACAUUCAGUAGUCAGAAGCGUUUCAGCCCCAAAGGAGCAUUGGGCAAGAAGCUUGCAGUGCCCUACAAGGAGAAGCUUGGAGACGAGUUCGACUACACUGUGGACAGCCAGGAAUGGGAUUCAAUUCCUAAGGCCAAACAAACGACCAAAAAAACCAUCAAGAAACCAAGUCUACCGAAGAAUAAAAACUGGAUGAAACACUUACGCAUGCCCCAGAGAGAACUGGAGCGACUACUUCUUGCCAGAAUGGAGAAUCGAAACCACUUCCUGAGAAACCCUCGGUUUUUCCCUCCUAACACUCCACAUGGAGGCAAAUCUCUUAUUUUUCCUCCAAUUAAGCCAGAACUGAUGGGAGAACACCCGAGUGCAGAGCUGGAACAAAGCUGCAUGGAUGCUCCAGUGUUUCUUGCUAAACCAUCAAUUGGGUUUUUCACAGAUUAUGAAAUUGGACCAGUUUAUGAGAUGGUCAUCUCGCUGCAGAACACCACCUCUGCCAGCCGCUACCUGCGAGUCCUUCCGCCUUCUACCCCACACUUUGCUCUGGGAUUGGGGAUGUUCCCAGGAAAAGGUGGAAUGGUGGCUCCGGGCAUGACUUGCCAGUACACUAUACAGUUUAUCCCGGACUGUCUCGGGGAUUUUGAUGAUUUCAUUUUAGUCGAGACCCAGUCAACUCACACGCUCCUGAUCCCCCUGCAGGCCCGGAGGCCGCCCCCCGUGCUGACCUUGUCGCCAGUGUUGGACUGUGGUUACUGCCUCAUUGGAGGAAUAAAGGUAACCAGAUUCAUCUGCAAAAAUGUGGGCUUCAGCGCUGGCAAAUUCUGCAUUAUGCCCAAAAAGAGUUGGCCACCACCAAGUUUCAGGGCGGUUGCAACUUCCGGCUUUGUUGAGCAGCCUCCCUUUGGAGUCAUGCCAUCCGUGUUUGAGCUGGCCCCAGGCUUUGCUGUGUUAAUAGAGGUCUUGUUCCUCCCAAUGAGCCUGGAAAAGGUGGAGCAGACCUUCAUCAUCGUGUGUGACAACUGCCAAGUCAGGGAGCUGGUGAUCACAGGAAGGGGGCAGCUGAUCGCUUUGGAUCUGAUCUAUGUUUCUGGUGAAAAAAGUCAACCGGACCCUGGAGAGCUCACAGACUUAACGGCCCAGCACUUCAUACGCUUCAAGCCUGAAAACAUUCGAUCCACAGCAAGGAAACAGCUGAUUAUCCGAAAUGCUACACACGUGGAGCUGGCUUUCCACUGGCAGAUCAUGAAGCCCAACCUGCAGCCCCUAAUGCCUGGAGAAACCUACAGCAUGGACAGCAUCAAGUACCACCCUGACAGGGAGACUGCCUUCUCCAUCAUACCCGAGAAGGGGGUUCUGAGCCCCCACAACAACCAAGAAUUCAUCCUGAGCUUUUCUCCUUAUAAGCUGAGGAACUACCACAGUGUGCUGCAGAUGGUGCUGGAAGAAGUUCCUGAGCCCUUGAAUUCAGAGGUGAAUAAUCUGGAGGACUACACAUACUCUGUGGAUGACGUGAUUGUCAUGGAAAUUGAGGUGAAAGGCUCAGCGGAACCCUUCCAAGUUCUCUUAGAACCCUACGCCCUCAUCAUCCCAGGGGAGAACUACAUUGGCAUAAAUGUGAAGAAGGAUUUUAAGAUGUGGAACAACAGCAAGUCACCCAUCAGGUACACGUGGGGGAAGAUCAGCCAUUGCCACAUCAUUGAAGUAGAACCCUGCACAGGGGUCAUAGAGCCCAACGAGGUUGGGGAUUUUGAGUUGAACUUUACCGGGGGUGUCCCUGGCCCAGCAAGCCAGGACCUGCUGUGCGAGAUCAGAGACUCACCCUCGCCAGUGGUGUUACACAUCGAGGCUGCCUUUAAGGGGCCUGCACUGGUCAUCAGCGUCUCGGCCCUUCGGUUUGGACUGCUCCGCCUGGGGCAGAAAGUCUCGAAGUCCAUCCAGAUCCGGAACAUCAGCCAGCUCUCAGCCAUGUGGCACAUGAGAGAGAGUCCUGUCUGCCUAGAAGAAAGGCAUGAAGAUGCAUCUCCCUUGGACAUUGAGCCUUCAAGUGGUUACCUUUACCCUCUGGGGGAGUGCCAGGUGACUGUCACCUUGGAGGCCUUGCACUGUCAGCGUCUGCAGACUGUACUAGAGCUGGAAGUGGAAAAAGGGACCUGGAGCUACCUUCCUGUGUAUGCUGAGGUACAGGAGCCCCACGUAUACCUGAAGAGCAGCCAGGUGGAGGUCAGCAACCUCUACAUGGGGGUGUCCACAAAGUCAACCAUCACGCUCGUCAACGGCACACUCCUGUUCACGCGGUUUCACUGGGGCAAGCUCUUAGGGCACCAAGCAGCCUUCUGCACAGCAACAGUCUCUCCCAAACGUGGCCUGCUGGGCCCCAGUGAGGAGCGCCUGCUCAACUUGGAGUUGACCGUGCAUACCACGGAAGAAUUGACAGAUCUGGCUCUUCCUUGUUAUGUGUCAGGAAUGAAAAAGCCACUGGUCUUAGGUAUCUCUGGGAAGCCCCAGGGACUGGAAGUGACCAUCACGGUCUCCGUGGAGGGUUCUGAUAUCAGGACAAAGCAGUGGCCGGGCCACCUGGAGGAGCUCCACCUAGACUUUGGAUCAAUGGUGCCACUGAGGACCCGUGUGAAUGGCCAGAUCAUUCUGACCAAUUGCUCCCCAAUGCAGACCUCUUUCACUCUCAAUUUUGACUACUUUGGGAGCCCCCCAAACAGCCUGAGCAAAAGCAUCAGCCUCCCCGACUUGCCUCCUGCCCUGCUAAAGUCGGCGCGGAUCCGAGAGCACUUGACCAAAAAAGAGCAGCUGGAUUUUAUGGAAAGCAUGUUAUCUUAUGGGAGAGGAGUUGCAUUCUUCCCCCACACUUCCAAGGGUGUGUUGGAGGCUUUCCAGCAGCUGAGCAUUGACAUCACAGGCUGUGCCAACAUGUGGGGCGAGUACUGGGACAGCCUUAUUUGCAAGGUGGGAGACCUGCCACCAGCAGUCAUCCCAGUGCACAUGGCAGUGGUGGGCUGCCCCAUCAGCUCCCAGCGGACCACCUCUUACAUGGCUGACAAGUCACAGAAGGAGCCCAUCAUCAGGUUUGGGACCCAGGUCUCUGGAGGAGACACAAUCACACGGAAACUUCGCCUGAAUAACUCCAGCCCCUGUGACAUUCGCCUAGACUGGGUCACCUAUGUUCCAGAAGAUAAGGAGGAUAAGCUGGUGGACCUGCUAGUGUUUUAUGGACCACCAUUCCCACUGCGGGAUCAAGCUGGAAAUGAGAUUGUGUACCCUGAGACCCCCGAGAGCAGCAGCUUACCCUGGUCCCCAAGCCCCUCCAGCAUGUCCGAGUCCAGCCAUGCAGCUGCUUUUCCAGUAGAGGCCUACUCCAAUGCCAGCAACAGGGCUGCAGCACAGAUCAUCUCAGUUGUCCUGCAGGAGCAUGAGGGGGUGCCCUCCGACCUCCCCUACUGUAUCAGACCCCAGCAGGUGGUGGUCCCUGCUGGGGGAAGUAGCACCAUCUACAUCUCCUUCACACCUCCGGUGCUCAGCUCCGACAUCCAGCAGAAGGUGGAGUGUACUGGCUACGCCCUGGGUUUCAUGAGCUUGGACAAUGAGGUAGAAAGAGAGAUUCCCGGGAGGAGGCGUCGACUGCAGCACUUUGCUGUGGAACCCCUGAGACUGGACCUGCAUGGGCACGUGAGGCGUGCGCAACUAAGCGUGGAGCUGGACAGCAGCGGCAACUUGGAGUUCUGGUGCCAGGCCAGCGACCUCAUCCCCGAGCAGCCCUGCUCUGCAGUGCUGAGUGAGCUGCUGACCACCCGCCACCUGAAGCUGAUCAACACUACAGAAAUACCACAGUACUUCUGGCUUCUGGUCUCCAGGCCCUUCUUUGUUUCUCAAGGCCAGGCUCCUUGGGACCACAGAGCUGGCUCUGGCCAGGAGCACGAGUCUGAGGAGACAGCUGCAGGGAGCAAGCAGAUGGAGCUCCGGCCACAGGAGAACAUGCUGGUGGAUGUGUCCUUCUCACUCUCCCUGGAGCUGCUCUCCUACCAGAAGCUCCCGACCGACCAGAUGCUACCUGGAGUGGAUAUCCAGCAGAGCACAAGUGGAGAGAAAGAGAUGGUGUUUACUCAGGAUCUGCUCCUGGAGUUCACCAAUCAGACCACACAGGUUGUGCCCCUGCGGGCCAUUGUGACUGUGCCUGAGCUGCAGCUGUCCAGCAGCUGGGUGGACUUUGGAACCUGCUUUGUGAACCAGCAGACAUCCCGGGAGAUCUACCUGAUGAACCUCAGCAGCUGCCGGAGCUACUGGGCUGUGCUGAUGGGUCAUCAGAGUGCCACCAAGGAGGCUAAAGACUUUGUUGUCUCCCCAAGCAGUGGGUUGCUGGAGGCACGACCCACCAAUGCGCCCCCAACCUCCAUCACACUUGAGGUGUUCUUCACUCCCAGGAGCAAUGAGCUGUAUGAAUCCACGAUGGUGGUCGAAGGCAUGCUGGGAGAGAAGUCCUGUGCCCUGCGGCUCCGGGGCCAAGGCUCUUACGAUGAGACAUUCAUGGAAACUCACCAGCUCUGAGGCUCACCCCACCCCUUAGCCCCAGACUUAGCUUAAGGAACGAGAUGGCACAGGUUGAUGAACAGGCCUCAGCUUUACGUCCUGGAGAACUGCGGUCAAGACGGCAGACAGAAGCUCAUCUUGGGUGGUGUCCUGCAGAGGCAGGUAAAGCUGCGGUGAGCUUGGCUUGUGAUACCUCACGCAGAAAAAGCGACUGCAGCUCACCUGCCGACUGCUUCCGGCCCCCGCCCCCAGGAAAAUAUGACGGAACCCGAGACCCAGCGUCUCACCCCAGGGGCCAACCCCCGGGGGCCUCACCUUGAAGACGCGGCGGCUCGCUUUGCCAAGGGCCGUGCGCCGUCCGUGCACCACCACCACGUCCUCGGCCGAGGCUUGCCUGAAGUUACCAAAGCGGCCUGUAGCGCGGGACCCGACUCGGGCCGGUCGGUGAGGUGGUCCUGAACUACCUGCAGCCUCAAAUUCACGCCGCUGAGACCCGCAGAGCAGUUUGAAAUCGGCGCGCAGUUGGAAUCAAACCCUCUGCACCUCGGAGCGCAAGUUCCACUCAGUCUUGGAAGCCCCAACACCGCCCACAGCCCGCCCUCCAAAGGUUCCGCCCACCCAAUCUCAGCCAACCAGAAGGAGCGUAACUUGAGGACACGCCCACCCCAGCCACUCUUACCUCAGACCCCAAACGUACCGCGCGGGGCCGUUCUUACCUCUCACAAAGUCCGGGCCUCCGUGGGCUACCCAGACCAAUCAAGAAGCGGUUCUUUCUGGAGUCCCGCCCACAAAGGCAGAUGGGAAAUCAUUCUACCUUUCCAAGUUUUGGAGACAAAAUCCAGGCUGGUUCCCAAAGUCUUGCACAUAAACUGGGCCUCAACCAGAAGCCCCUUCCUUCAAAAUCCUACACCCUGCCUGCUGCCAGACAGAAGGCUGGACCACCUGGAGUCCCUUCCUUGGCCUUUCUUUGGAAGGAGGAGUUCGGGACUCUUAAUUCCUGUUCCCCAUCCUAGUCUGUUCUGUUCUGUCGCGUGUCCUGGCACCCAAUCUGGAGACUCUACAUACUCUUCAUAUUUCCAGCUCACCUCCGAAGAAGUCAAUUUCUUCCGGCAAGUCUUUUUAGAAGAACCAAGCAAUUUGAUUCCCAGUUAUCACGGAGAGUGAAUUUACAAAGCUGUGGAAGUUUAGCAAGCUCUUUAACUGGACAGAGAACAUGCCACACUUCUUAGAACAAUGUCACACCUGUUUGUGAUGAUUCAAUUGGUUAUCACCUUCCCCGUUAGGAAGCAGAGAAGAAGCUGUGUCCUGGGAUCCUGAAAUGUGUUUGACGUUUAGUACGUCAUCAAUAUAUAUCUGAGGAAUGAGAGAAUUAUCCAGGGCU